This 814-nucleotide ribosomal RNA is filed under the name uncultured bacterium. RNAcentral describes it as "bacterial SSU rRNA". It matches the Rfam family "Bacterial small subunit ribosomal RNA", at positions 28 to 873 of the family's 1533-position model. The record is from RNAcentral.
GAUGAACGCUGGCGGUAUGCGUAACACAUGCAAGUCGAGCGAAGUUUUUCGGAACUUAGUGGCGGACGGGUGAGUAACGCGUGAGAAUCUGCCUUAAGGAUUGGGACAACAGUGGGAAACCGCUGCUAAUACCAAAUAUGCCUUUUAGUGAAACGGGUAAAACCGCCUUAAGAUGAGCUCGCGUCUGAUUAGCUAGUAGGUGUGGUAAGAGCGCACCUAGGCGACGAUCAGUAGCUGGUCUGAGAGGACGACCAGCCACACUGGGACUGAGACACGGCCCAGACUCCUACGGGAGGCAGCAGUGAGGAAUUUUCCGCAAUGGGCGAAAGCCUGACGGAGCAAUACCGCGUGAGGGAGGAAGGUUCUUGGAUUGUAAACCUCUUUUCUCAGAGAAGAAUAAUGACGGUAUCUGAGGAAUAAGCAUCGGCUAACUCCGUGCCAGCAGCCGCGGUAAUACGGAGGAUGCAAGCGUUAUCCGGAAUGAUUGGGCGUAAAGGGUCUGUAGGUGGUUGUUCAAGUCUGCUGUUAAAGCGUCUGGCUUAACCAGAUAAAGGCGGUGGAAACUGAACAACUAGAGUGCGGUAGGGGUAGAGGGAAUUCCCAGUGUAGCGGUGAAAUGCGUAGAUCUUGGGAAGAACACCUGUGGCGAAAGCGCUCUACUGGACCGCGACUGACACUGAUGGACGAAAGCUAGGGGAGCGAAUGGGAUUAGAUACCCCAGUAGUCCUAGCCGUAAACGAUGGAUACUAGGCGUUGCCCGUAUCGACCCGGGCAGUGUCGUAGCUAACGCGUUAAUAUCCCGCCGGGAGAUCGC